Long non-coding RNA from Manis pentadactyla (Chinese pangolin), 1570 nucleotides. RefSeq lists it as uncharacterized. Lineage: Eukaryota; Metazoa; Chordata; Mammalia; Pholidota; Manidae. The record is from RefSeq and is a predicted model, not a curated record. The transcript has 2 exons.
GUUCCCGGAUCUAGCCUCCUUCCUACCCGGUGUGGCGCCCAUGUCCUGCUGGGCCCCAGGCCCGAGCGCCGGGAACUUCUCUAGAAGCCGAUUGGCCGACCAAGCCCAGCCCCCGGGCUCUGCGGAGAGUCGCGGCGGAGCUCAGUGGCUGCCGGCACUCAAAGGCUUUUGCCUCUCAGGCAGUAGAGAUGUGCGAGGGGCUGGCUCCUGCCGCCUCCCCUGAUGGCUUGGCCAUGGGGAGGGUCCGCCAGACACCCGAAGGACCUAGGACGGAAAAGCGACCGGAAACUCUCCCUGCCGCCGUAGUGACGCCGGGGUUCUUGUUCACGAAGCUGAAGAAUGAGCUUCACAAACAGUUAAGGGAAAGAGGCCCCACAGCAGAAUUCUGAAGGAGCUACUCCCAGAACUCAUGUAGAGAAAGUGGAUUCUCAGAAGGCAUCAACCAUCCUGGAUGUCAUACUGCCCUGCUCAAGCCACAGCCAUCAGCUUUGGUGGCUUCAGUUGAAAAGAACUGCUUUGCUCAAAGUUAGGCCCCUUUCUGAGCAGCCAGCAUCCACUGACUGAUGCCCAUUCUACUUUCUUUUGUUUAACAGGUGUUGAUUAUAGAGUACUCCCUAAUAAAUGUCCUGUGUGCUAAUCUCCAUUCAAAAUUGAAUUCCCAGGAAAUCGUAUCUGUGAUGUCUCCCUAGUGUAGAUGGACAGUUUGGAGGAGAAGAUAACAAAUAAGUAAAUUUGUUAUUUGUACCCUGAAGGAAAUGAACAAGAUACAGUGAUGGUAAACAAUGGGAGAGUCAUACUUGAUGACACUUAAGCCAAAAACUGUACAGCAGGUCCAAGUCAGCCAUGUGAGGAGCAGGUAGGAGAGUGUAUUCAGGAAGAGAAACAUCUUGGAUAAAGGCUCAUCCCAAAGUGCUCAGUAUAUUGAGCUAUCACAUAGAGCUUUGUAGCCUUUUAAUGGAUUUUAUUUCAAAUGCAGUGUGAGGGUUUUAAGGAUUUUUAAACAAGGAAAUAAAAUGCUGGGAUUUACAUUUUUUAAAAUUGCUCUGAUACAGUGUAAAGAAUAGACUGGAAGAGAGGAAGCCAUUAGAGAGGUUACUGCAGCAUCAAGCAACAUGACCACCUGAAGUUUGCCUCUUCCCUCUAAACCAUGUCCCAGGUGCCCAAGACCAUAGAAUUCCCUGCCCAGAGAGUGCAAACCUACUUCCAGGACUUUCAUGGGCCUCUUCCCUAUGUCUAACUCCCUAAGGACAGAAUGUACACCCUUAAGGCCAUGAAGCAUCCAGGGAGUGGUCUGUAGGGCUGGGAAAUGGAGUGUCCACAAAUGUGUGUGAAGCCCCUUAUAUUGUGGGAUGAAGCCAGGAUUGGAAAGCAAGGAGGAUGAGCUGUGAGGUAAUCUCUACCUACCCUGACACAUUCCAAUAUGGAAACAGAAGGAUUCCAAGAAUCCUAAAUUUGAGGCUGGGCCAUCCAGGCAUUAAAAAUUUAUAUUUGUCAAGAAAUGAGGACAGAGCAUAUUUUAUUGAACAAGUUGUCAGCUUUUUUUAAAACAUAAAAUGUUUUUAGACAUGUG